RNAcentral lists this ribosomal RNA (466 nucleotides) under uncultured bacterium. RNAcentral's name for it is "partial 16S ribosomal RNA". It matches the Rfam family "Bacterial small subunit ribosomal RNA", at positions 339 to 795 of the family's 1533-position model. The record is from RNAcentral.
CUACGGGGCGCUGCAGUGGGGAAUAUUGGACAAUGGGGGAAACCCUGAUCCAGCAAUGCCGCGUGUGUGAAGAAGGCCUGCGGGUUGUAAAGCACUUUCGGUUGGGAGGACUGCUUCUAGCACUAAUAUUGUUGGAAGUUGACGUUACCUUCAGAAGAAGCACCGGCUAACUCCGUGCCAGCAGCCGCGGUGAAUACGGAGGGUGCAAGCGUUAAUCGGAAUUACUGGGCGUAAAGCGCGCGUAGGCGGCUAGAUCAGUCGGGUGUGAAAGCCCCGGGCUUAACCCGGGAACUGCAUCCGAUACUGUCUAGCUUGAGUACAGGAGAGGAGAGUGGAAUUCCACAUGUAGCGGUGAAAUGCGUAGAUAUGUGGAGGAACACCAAUGGCGAAGGCAGCUCUCUGGCCUGAUACUGACGCUGAGGUGCGAAAGCGUGGGGAGCAAACAGGAUUAGAUACCCUUGUAGUC